Molecule: long non-coding RNA, 298 nt
Filed under: Elaeis guineensis (African oil palm)
Lineage: Eukaryota; Viridiplantae; Streptophyta; Magnoliopsida; Arecales; Arecaceae
Description: long non-coding RNA (EGUI_LNC057630)
Source: RNAcentral
AAGGUCCGAUUAUUUUUAGAUCGGAUGGGGGGAGAGGCCCUACAGCGCCCAUAUAUGCCCCCACCACCCUGUUAGGGACAGGAGGAGAACCUCACCCUAAUAUGAGCAAAGUCGAAGACCCGAUUAUCCUUAGAUCGGAUGGGGGGAGAGACCUUGCAACACCCAUAUAUGCCCCCACAGUCCUGUUAGGAACAGGAGAGGAACCUCAUCCUAACCUGAGCUGAAAUUGACUGCAUCAAAAAUAGGGGAAGAACCUCAUCCUGACACCAACUAAGGUCCGGCCAUUCGAGACCUGAUA